RNAcentral lists this ribosomal RNA (431 nucleotides) under uncultured bacterium. RNAcentral's name for it is "partial 16S ribosomal RNA". It matches the Rfam family "Bacterial small subunit ribosomal RNA", at positions 29 to 507 of the family's 1533-position model. The record is from RNAcentral.
AACGAACGCUGGCGGCAGGCCUAACACAUGCAAGUCGAGCGCCCCGCAAGGGGAGCGGCGGACGGGUGAGUAACGCGUGGGAAUAUGCCCUUUGCUACGGAAUAGUCUCGGGAAACUGGGGGUAAUACCGUAUACGCCCUUUGGGGGAAAGAUUUAUCGGCGAAGGAUUAGCCCGCGUUGGAUUAGGUAGUUGGUGGGGUAAUGGCCUACCGAGCCGACGAUCCAUAGCUGGUUUGAGAGGAUGAUCAGCCACACUGGGACUGAGACACGGCCCAGACUCCUACGGGAGGCAGCAGUGGGGAAUCUUAGACAAUGGGGGCAACCCUGAUCUAGCCAUGCCGCGUGAGUGAUGAAGGCCUUAGGGUUGUAAAGCUCUUUCAGCUGGGAAGAUAAUGACGGUACCAGCAGAAGAAGCCCCGGCUAACUCCGUG